RNAcentral lists this long non-coding RNA (536 nucleotides) under Zonotrichia albicollis (white-throated sparrow). RNAcentral describes it as "lncRNA (ENSZALG00000008273.1)". Lineage: Eukaryota; Metazoa; Chordata; Aves; Passeriformes; Passerellidae. The record is from RNAcentral.
UUUUAAUCUCUGCUGAUAAAUCAGAGUGUUUGGAUGAUUAGCACUGACCGCCUUCUGAUUGGUUUUCUGGCUUGCUGCUGCUCAGGACUUUUUGCUUAUGAGAUAACUAGAUAUAUGCCUGGCUAGUGAAAAAGGUCUAUAUGACAUAUGUCUGGCUAUUUGACUGUCAGUCAAAUAAGAUUAUGUUGAAAUUGUUGUAUUGAGGAUCAGAUCUUGUGCCCUACAUGCUUUUUUUCAUCCAUGAGUCACUCUUUGGAUCCCUUUUCUUAUUUAAGAAGAAAAAAAUCCCCCAAUUACAAGAUGGCAUGAGCUGUGCUGAGCCCAUACAACAUCCUAAGCAGGAAGCCCUUGCCCAGCACCAAUUAAGGACUAACUGUACCAAGGGAUUCAGUUUCAGAGAGAAGGUUCUGCAGCGUGCCAGGCCCGGAGCACCCAGAGGUACACAGGUGGGAUAUGCACCCUCUGCUGGGAAGGCAGCAGUCAGGGGAGCAACUGCUUGGACACGCUGCUUCAUACCAGCUACCAGAGAGCUCUGA